UUUUUUGGAGGGCAAAGUCUGGUGCCAGCAGCCGCGGUAAUUCCAGCUCCAAUAGCGUAUAUUAAAGUUGUUGCAGUUAAAAAGCUCGUAGUUGAAUUUCGGGAUCAUCAGGUUGGUCGUGCCUCUGGUAUGUACUGAUUUCGAUGGUUCCUCCUUCUUGUAGAACCGUAAUGCCAUUAAUUUGGUGUUGCGGGAAAACAGGACUGUUACUUUGAAAAAAUUAGAGUGUUUAAAGCAGGCAAUCGCUUGAAUACAUUAGCAUGGAAUAAUGAAAUAGGACGUUUGAUCCUAUUUUGUUGGUUUCUAGGAUUGACGUAAUGAUUAAUAGGGAUAGUUGGGGGCAUUAGUAUUCAAUUGUCAGAGGUGAAAUUCUUGGAUUUAUUGAAGACUAACUACUGCGAAAGCAUUCGCCAAGGAUGUUUUCAUUAAUCAAGAACGAAAGUUAGGGGAUCGAAGACGAUCAGAUACCGUCGUAGUCUUAACCAUAAACUAUGCCGACUAGGGAUCGGAUGAUGUUAAUUUUUUAAUGACUCAUUCGGCGCNUUACGGGAAACAAAA
This 558-nucleotide ribosomal RNA is filed under the name uncultured Glomus. RNAcentral's name for it is "SSU rRNA". It matches the Rfam family "Eukaryotic small subunit ribosomal RNA", at positions 539 to 1102 of the family's 1831-position model. The record is from RNAcentral. Lineage: Eukaryota; Fungi; Glomeromycota; Glomeromycetes; Glomerales; Glomeraceae.